AUAAAUAUUACUAAUGGUUAAGACGUCCGACCGCGCUGACUGUACGUCACGAACUCUACUUACUGUAUAUACACUGCUAACCUGUCUACCUAACUACUAUAAAAACUAGCCUCUUUUAGAAAAGAACACAAAAGUAAAAUACUAAGAACUAGCAACAAGACAUACACAUUUCUUAACAUUACAUAAUAGUUACAUAUACCUAUAAUAAUAUUUAUUUAUCGUUGUACCAAAAAAUAACAAAAAACAAUUGUGAAUCUUUUUAAAUGUUUAUGAAAAUGUUGUUUUAAUUCUUUUUAUAAAGUUCUUUUUAUCUGGCCCAUGCAGAUGGUACAAUAACAGUAUAUUCCUCCACUAUUUUUAAAUUACCCACUGUUCAUUAUUACGACAUAUGUAGAUGACUUUUAAAUAAAUAAAAAACAAUUGUGAAUCAUUUUGAACGUCUAAGAAUGUUCUUCUAAUUUUUCAUAAAAAGUUCUUCUUGUUUAGCCCAUGUAUUGUUUCAAUUAUGUCUAGGUGUUUCAAAUGGGGUGUACACAGUUGGGAACGAAAAUGUGAUUCCCCGACAUUCAACGACUACAGACAUUGAAAAACAGGCCGUUUUUAAACCCAGCUUUUUGGAGCAGUUGUGCCAAUGUUUUUCGUUUUAUAAUAACAUAAAAUCAUUUCUAAAAACCAGAGCGGGAUACGACGCCAUUGGAAUGGUUCAUGGUUUCAGAUUGUUCUCCAUGUUAUGGGUUAUAGCGGUUCAUUCAAUGUUUUAUGAAAUUGACUUUUUCGAAAAUGUUCCCGAUGGAUUCAGAUUGUCAGAAUUUUUUCUAACUCAGCCGUUCAAUAAUUCUACAUAUUGUGUGGAUAGCUUUCUAUUCUUAAGUGGUUUUUUGUUGUCCUAUCUCUAUUUCAAAACU
Molecule: long non-coding RNA, 905 nt
Organism: Agrilus planipennis (emerald ash borer)
Lineage: Eukaryota; Metazoa; Arthropoda; Insecta; Coleoptera; Buprestidae
Exons: 2
Source: RefSeq, a predicted model, not a curated record